UACCAAUCACAAUAGAAUACUACACAACGCAAUCCAACCAUUCCAGGAAAUUGGAUUUCCAAUAUUUCUUUUAUGUUGCCGUAGUAGACAUCGUCACCAGAAGAAGAUGAAACACCAGCAUCAUAUGUUGUCUUAGAAUGACAUUUCCUUGUGAAUGCAUAUCCUCGCGUACAAAAUUUAGGAUAUGAUUUGACCACAUAGUUUGGUCCCUGCACAAAUUCGCGUAUCCAAUCAUCGAACACAAGACCUCUGGCCAAAC
Molecule: long non-coding RNA, 259 nt
Filed under: Brassica napus (rape)
Lineage: Eukaryota; Viridiplantae; Streptophyta; Magnoliopsida; Brassicales; Brassicaceae
Description: long non-coding RNA (BNAP_LNC025744)
Source: RNAcentral